RNAcentral lists this ribosomal RNA (482 nucleotides) under uncultured bacterium. RNAcentral describes it as "partial 16S ribosomal RNA". It matches the Rfam family "Bacterial small subunit ribosomal RNA", at positions 30 to 505 of the family's 1533-position model. The record is from RNAcentral.
AGUGAACGCUGGCGGCAGGCCUAACACAUGCAAGUCGAGCGGCAGCGGGUCCUUCGGGAUGCCGGCGAGCGGCGGACGGGUGAGGAAUACAUCGGAAUCUGCCCUGUCGUGGGGGAUAACCUAGGGAAACUUAGGCUAAUACCGCAUACGACCUACGGGUGAAAGCGGGGGAUCGCAAGACCUCGCGCGACAGGAUGAGCCGAUGUCCGAUUAGCUAGUUGGCGGGGUAAAGGCCCACCAAGGCGACGAUCGGUAGCUGGUCUGAGAGGAUGAUCAGCCACACUGGGACUGAGACACGGCCCAGACUCCUACGGGAGGCAGCAGUGGGGAAUAUUGGACAAUGGGCGCAAGCCUGAUCCAGCCAUGCCGCGUGGGUGAAGAAGGCCUUCGGGUUGUAAAGCCCUUUUGUCCGGGAAGAAAUCGUCUGGGCUAAUACCCCGGGCGGAUGACGGUACCGGAAGAAUAAGCACCGGCUAACUUCG